AAGAUGGGCCAGUUUUUGAUGGAGAUAAAAAUGUGAAUGCUUUGGGACCAGCAGAGGGUGUAAUGGUUAUGUCGCUGGACCGCAUGUAGUUGACUGCGGUUGGAGUCGGGGACCAGUGGCUUAAAACAACUGCCUGGUCCAUGUACGUGCUUGACCAAAAUCCCGAGAGGAGAGUGGAGGAGAAGGGAUUGGGGCAAGGUCAUCCUGGAAGGGGGGAGAAUUUCUUACCUUCUGACUCUGUCUCUCUCUGUCUCAGGGCGAGUGCACACACCCUAUAGCAAAAACCUCUCCAAAAAAAAAGUGAACUUUUUUUGCUGCCACAAGAACACAUAUAGAAACUCUGUACGAAGGACUGGAUUUACAGACUUGUGUUCAUCAAUGGCUGUAACCUUGGGCGAUAUUGGAAUAUCGGGGCCCCUGCUACCUGGUGUCAUCCAGGAGACAGUGAGAGAGGGACAGAGCGAGAGAGAGAGGAGGGAAGUGAGAAGGCAAGAAUGUGAAGAAUAUCAAAUAUGGAACCGGCAGAUGGCAUGGUGGUUAAGGCACUGGACGUCCAGUAAUUGAAAGUUCU
Molecule: long non-coding RNA, 571 nt
Organism: Tupaia belangeri chinensis (Chinese tree shrew)
Lineage: Eukaryota; Metazoa; Chordata; Mammalia; Scandentia; Tupaiidae
Exons: 3
Source: RefSeq, a predicted model, not a curated record